Non-coding RNA from Myotis lucifugus (little brown bat), 75 nucleotides. Lineage: Eukaryota; Metazoa; Chordata; Mammalia; Chiroptera; Vespertilionidae. The record is from Rfam.
GGCGAUUUUUGGGUGAUGCACCCCAGAACUGGGCUCCCUCCUCUCUGGUUCUGGGUGAGUCACCCGAGAAAUGCA